AUCUUCGGGGGUAGAGCACUGUUUCGGCUAGGGGGUCAUCCCGACUUACCAACCCGAUGCAAACUACGAAUACCGAAGAAUGUUAUCACGGGAGACACACGGCGGGUGCUAACGUCCGUCGUGAAGAGGGAAACAACCCAGACCGCCAGCUAAGGUCCCAAAGUCAUGGUUAAGUGGGAAACGAUGUGGGAAGGCACAGACAGCCAGGAUGUUGGCUUAGAAGCAGCCAUCAUUUAAAGAAAGCGUAAUAGCUCACUGGUCGAGUCGGCCUGCGCGGAAGAUGUAACGGGGCUAAACCAUGCACCGAAGCUGCGGCAGCGACACUAUGUGUUGUUGGGUAGGGGAGCGUUCUGUAAGCCUGCGAAGGUGUGCUGUGAGGCAUGCUGGAGGUAUCAGAAGUGCGAAUGCUGACAUAAGUAACGAUAAAGCGGGUGAAAAGCCCGCUCGCCGGAAGACCAAGGGUUCCUGUCCAACGUUAAUCGGGGCAGGGUGAGUCGACCCCUAAGGCGAGGCCGAAAGGCGUAGUCGAUGGGAAACAGGUUAAUAUUCCUGUACUUGGUGUUACUGCGAAGGGGGGACGGAGAAGGCUAUGUUAGCCGGGCGACGGUUGUC
This 612-nucleotide ribosomal RNA is filed under the name Klebsiella pneumoniae. RNAcentral's name for it is "partial 23S ribosomal RNA". It matches the Rfam family "Bacterial large subunit ribosomal RNA", at positions 892 to 1506 of the family's 2925-position model. Lineage: Bacteria; Pseudomonadati; Pseudomonadota; Gammaproteobacteria; Enterobacterales; Enterobacteriaceae. The record is from RNAcentral.